CCCUUAGAUGUUCUGGGCCGCACGCGCGCUACACUGAUGCAUUCAACGAGUCCAACCUUGACCGAGAGGUCCGGGUAAUCUUUGAAACUGCAUCGUGAUGGGGCUAGAUUAUUGCAAUUAUUAAUCUUCAACGAGGAAUGCCUAGUAAGCGUGAUUCAUCAAAUCGCGUUGAUUACGUCCCUGCCCUUUGUACACACCGCCCGUCGCUCCUACCGAUUGAGUGUGUUGGUGAGGAGUUUGGAUUGGCCUCGGAAGGUGGUUCGCCACCGUCCGUAGCUGAGAAGUUCUCCAAACCGCCCCACUUAGAGGAAGGAGAAGUCGUAAC
This 325-nucleotide ribosomal RNA is filed under the name uncultured eukaryote. RNAcentral's name for it is "partial 18S ribosomal RNA". It matches the Rfam family "Eukaryotic small subunit ribosomal RNA", at positions 1470 to 1795 of the family's 1831-position model. The record is from RNAcentral.